This 567-nucleotide ribosomal RNA is filed under the name Micrococcus luteus. RNAcentral's name for it is "partial 23S ribosomal RNA". It matches the Rfam family "Bacterial large subunit ribosomal RNA", at positions 1552 to 2105 of the family's 2925-position model. The record is from RNAcentral. Lineage: Bacteria; Bacillati; Actinomycetota; Actinomycetes; Micrococcales; Micrococcaceae.
AUGCCUGAGACCUGAUGGGCGCCCACGUGGUGGGUGAUCCGGUGAUCCUAUGCUGCCAAGAAAAGCAUCGGCGCGAGGUUCAAACUGCCCGUACCCUAAACCGACACAGGUGGUCAGGUAGAGAAUACUAAGGCGAUCGAGAGAAUCAUGGUUAAGGAACUCGGCAAAAUGCCCCCGUAACUUCGGGAGAAGGGGGGCCCCAACCUUGAGCACCACGUGCUGGUGUGAGGGGAUCGGGGCCGCAGAGACCAGGGGGAAGCGACUGUUUAUCAAAAACACAGGUCCAUGCGAAGUCGUAAGACGAUGUAUAUGGACUGACUCCUGCCCGGUGCUGGAAGGUUAAGGGGACCUGUUAGCUUCGGCGAAGCGGAGAACUUAAGCCCCAGUAAACGGCGGUGGUAACUAUAACCAUCCUAAGGUAGCGAAAUUCCUUGUCGGGUAAGUUCCGACCUGCACGAAUGGAGUAACGACUUCCCCGCUGUCUCAACCAUGAACUCGGCGAAAUUGCAUUACGAGUAAAGAUGCUCGUUACGCGCAGAAGGACGGAAAGACCCCGUGACCUUUACU